This 485-nucleotide long non-coding RNA is filed under the name Zonotrichia albicollis (white-throated sparrow). RNAcentral's name for it is "lncRNA (ENSZALG00000001743.1)". The record is from RNAcentral. Lineage: Eukaryota; Metazoa; Chordata; Aves; Passeriformes; Passerellidae.
GGAUGGAGGCGCUCUGGGGCUCCAGGAGAAAGGCAGGGACAGGAGGGAACAGGAGGGAACCAGGAGGGAGCUUUUCCAGUCAGGAUGGGGCAGUGGUUACUGGGAAUGGCUCCCACCUUCCCAGGAGUGCUUCAUUUCACACCCUGCUCCGUGAGGAAUCAGUGGGGUGGAGGGAAUCAGCACUGGGAACAGGGAAUCCAGCACUGGGAUCACUGGGAUCACUGAAUUCAGCACUGGGAUGGAGGAAAUCAGCACUGGGAUCACUGAAAUCAGCACUGGGAUCACUGAAUUCAGCACUGGGAUCACUGGGAUGGAGAAAUCAGCACUGUGAUCACCGAAAUAAGCCCUGGGAUCACUGCAAUCAGCACUGGGAUUACUGAAAUCAGCACUGGGAUCACUGAAUUCAGCACUGGGAUCACUGCAAUCAGCACUGGGAUCACUGAAUUCAGCACUGGGAUCACCAAAAUCAGCACUGGGAUCACUGA